Molecule: ribosomal RNA, 253 nt
Filed under: uncultured bacterium
Lineage: Bacteria
Description: partial 16S ribosomal RNA
Rfam family: Bacterial small subunit ribosomal RNA
Source: RNAcentral
UACGUAGGGUGCAAGCGUUGUCCGGAAUUAUUGGGCGUAAAGAGCUCGUAGGCGGUCUGUCGCGUCGGCUGUGAAAACCCGGGGUUCAACCCCGGGCCUGCAGUCGAUACGGGCAGACUAGAGUGCGGUAGGGGAGACUGGAAUUCCUGGUGUAGCGGUGAAAUGCGCAGAUAUCAGGAGGAACACCGGUGGCGAAGGCGGGUCUCUGGGCCGUAACUGACGCUGAGGAGCGAAAGCGUGGGGAGCGAACAGG